RNAcentral lists this ribosomal RNA (461 nucleotides) under uncultured Anoxybacillus sp. RNAcentral's name for it is "bacterial SSU rRNA". It matches the Rfam family "Bacterial small subunit ribosomal RNA", at positions 920 to 1382 of the family's 1533-position model. Lineage: Bacteria; Bacillati; Bacillota; Bacilli; Caryophanales; Anoxybacillaceae. The record is from RNAcentral.
CCCGCACAAGCGGUGGAGCAUGUGGUUUAAUUCGACGCAACGCGAAGAACUUACCAGGGCUCGACAUCCCCUGACCGCGUAUGAAAGUACGUUUUCACCCUCGGGUGACAGGGAGACAGGUGGUGCAUGGUUGUCGUCAGCUCGUGUCGUGAGAUGUUGGGUUAAGUCCCGCAACGAGCGCAACCCUCGACCUUAGUUGCCAGCAUUCAGUUGGGCACUCUAAGGUGACUGCCGGCUAAAAGUCGGAGGAAGUGGGGAUGACGUCAAAUCAUCAUGCCCCUUAUGACCUGGGCUACACACGUGCUACAAUGGGCGGUACAAAGGGUCGCGAACCCGCGAGGGGGAGCCAAUCCCAAAAAGCCGCUCUCAGUUCGGAUUGCAGGCUGCAACUCGCCUGCAUGAAGCCGGAAUCGCUAGUAAUCGCGGAUCAGCAUGCCGCGGUGAAUACGUUCCCGGGCCUU